CAAGUAGACAAGGCAAUCGCCCCGCUAGUACAUGUACCGGCGGGGAGGAAAGUCCGAACACCUUCUUGAAAGAAAAAUUGUCUUUCAGAAACGUUCCGGGUAAUACCCGGCCGGAGUAAUCCGAGUGGUGCGAACAGAGACGCCGAAAUCCGAAAGGAUUGAGGCCUUCCGCUUUUAGCGGGAGGAGUCCCGUCGUAAGGCGGGAAGUGAAACGGCUAAAUCCUGACGGGGUGCAAGAACAAAACCCAGCGAGAUAAAAUCAUCAUCUCACGGGGUGAAAAGUAGUUCGCCUGAGCCCGAGAGUAAUCUCUGGCCUAGAUAGAUGGUUGCCCAAAACAGAAUUCGGCUUAUUGUCUGCUUGGGCU
RNAcentral lists this RNase P RNA (365 nucleotides) under bacterium. RNAcentral describes it as "RNase P RNA component class A". It matches the Rfam family "Bacterial RNase P class A". Rfam says of the family: Ribonuclease P (RNase P) is a ubiquitous endoribonuclease, found in archaea, bacteria and eukarya as well as chloroplasts and mitochondria. The record is from RNAcentral.